This is a long non-coding RNA of Oreochromis aureus, 4088 nucleotides long. RefSeq lists it as uncharacterized. The transcript has 4 exons. Lineage: Eukaryota; Metazoa; Chordata; Actinopteri; Cichliformes; Cichlidae. The record is from RefSeq and is a predicted model, not a curated record.
AUGAAAUGUACAAUUCAUCAGUGAGUAACUACUUGUCUUUCACAUUCUCAGUUACUACAUCAUUAGUUACACUUCAUCUUCAUCUAACAAAUAGGAAAAGAAGUCUUCAUGAUCUUCAUCGGUUUUGGUACAUCUGCGUAUGCUGUGAGUGACAAACUUAUCAUCUGUGAAAUUACGGCUUUAAACAAGGAAUAACUCAAAUAAAGAAAAAUAAAAUCAGGAAAAGUCCAACGACAAUCAACAGUCUCUUUAAAACUUGUUAAAGUUGAGCGCUUCUUCCUGGAUGAGGAUGUUGAUGUUGUUGUGCACUUUACAAAAGUCAUUCUCAGGGUGUUUCCCAUAUAUGGUUGUGCUAAUACGCUCGGCAUGUGCGAGCAAACAUAACAGUCUUUCUCUGCAGUUCUGUUAAACGCGUAUCUGUACCAGGCAUAGUCCAUCUCUUUUCUCGGCUCGUGUAUUGUUGUCUUCCUUCUUCCUGGGUGGAUAGUGUGAUGAGCAGAGCCGUUGCCAGUAGUGAGACACCAGUUACCACCUGAGAACACUACAUUUUACUUAAGGCAUUUAGGUCAUUUCUAUUUUUUUCAAAGAACCCACACAUCUUACAUAUUUCAAACUUUUAAGUUAGGAAAAAACUUUGCAUUGCUCACAGCUCAUAGCUCACAGCUCUAAAACCAGACAUUAGUAAAUCAUAUGCCUAAUCAUUAUGUGUCAUUGUGAUCCACAAGUAUGAUCACAAAUUUGUGAUCAAAAAGUUUAAGCUGAAGUAAUGAGUGCUGGAUAGCAAAUAAAUAAGUGUGUGUGUGUGUGUAUACGUGUGUAUACGUGUGUAUAUAUGAGAUGGCAUUGUUUAACGAGAUUGGGGUCUCAACAGUUGAGUUGGCUGAGCAUGGUGUAGCAUCUCAGCAUGUUCCCCUGUUGCCAGAUCAAGCUAUAGCACCAUCUGUGUCUACGCCUGUUGCUCAGGAACUGCCUGAGGGCACUGCCGACGACACUGCCUCAUUUUGAGCCACUCUCGAUACAGUUCUUUUUGGGUUCAAAGCAGGAUGCUAGGCUACGAGUUCAUCUGGCUCAUCUCCAGCUGGAGAGAGAAAAAUGCGAAAGGGAGUUUCAUCUGAAGGAGGAGUUGGAACUUAGGCGUUUAGGGGCAGAGCUGGCCAGAGCCAGGGAGAUUGAGCUGAAAAACGUGAAAGCAGAGACAACUUUUAAGAUGUAACAUUUAGAACUCCAACAGGUUUCCCUUCUUACGACUGCCACCAUUCCACAGCCACGGGCAGCGUUUGAUGUAGGAGAAAGGUUGGCUAGUUGAAAAAAGUUGGUUGAUGUGGCACAUUGACUUCUGAAGAAAUUUUAGAUUGCACUCAUCAGAAAAGUUGCCAACCCCUGCUAUAGAGUUUAAUUUGACUGUAUGAGAUUAACAUUCAGUUUCUAUGUUGUCAGCUAUAAUGGCUGGACAGCCUUUAAGAAUCAAAUCAGCUUCUAAAUAAUUUGCUGGUUUUUCCUCUUCUUGUUUUUUACUUUCUUUGAGGCUCUGGUGACUCUGUAGACUCUUGAGUCUAGAAAAGCAGCUGUUGGACAGAAAGAUGUCAACUGAGUGAUUCAAGACACCCUGUGCCAGAUGCAGCAAAGCAGCCCCAGAACAUAACAGAGCCUCCUCCAUGUUUCACAGGUGCCAGCAGUUUUGUCCACGUGUGUAUGUCCCACUGGGAGGAGUUCCCCUGGAUAAAGCUGGAGGUGGUGGCUGGGCAGAGAGAGUUCUGGGCUUCUCUGCUUGGGUCCCAGAGGCAGGAUCCUGACUGCAGAUAAAUGGAACAGUGCAAUGAUUCAGCUUGAUUGUCUAUCUUGAGGAUACCAGGAGAGACGAGCCCUCCGUCACAGAUGGUGUGUUCAGUGAAGAAAGUCACCUGCAGAUUCAAGACCAUUGCAUCUCUAUCCCACAUUCACUGCCACUGUACAUAAGGGAAGUUGAACUUUCUUCAACCACUGCAUUUUCAUCAUCUUAAUCCAUGAGUCAUUCAGGCAGUAAUGCCUGGACUGAGCAGGACUGCUUAAACUUGGGUUCAAAAUAAUUCAAUCUAAAACUUUGGUUUUGUUUUUUUUGUAAGGUUAUUAAAGUUUUAAAUUGUUUAACAAAUAAAUAUGAAAAUUUAAUUUGAUAAUAUUUGAAGUAUAAUUAAAUAACACAAGCUACAAUAGUGGGAAUAUACUUGUUUGUCAUUACAGUGUCCAGUAUGUUGGCUAAUAAAUAGUUUUUGCAUUUGAAAAUAAAAGUUGAGCUGAUUUCAGCUGCAUCACAAAAUGUGUUUUAUUAUUUUUUUUAAUCAUACUUGCAUACAUUGUUUAUUGAUUAGGUGUUGUACUAGAAAGCUCUUGUUCAAGGAUGACAAAAUGUAAUGUGAUUUAGUUGCAUUAUGAUUUGUAUGCAAGUAAAAUUAAAUUGCAAGUUACCACAAAUUGUUUUUAAUGUAGUUAAACUUAAUGUUUAUUUCAGUGGAUAAACAUUUAAUGUCUCAUUCAGGAAAUUUGGGGGGGGUGGCCAGUUUAGUGGCGACCCUGUCAUCAAGAUAUAUUCUGGCAAAAUUGAGAGGAGCCUUUAUGUUCCUUUUGCUUAGCGAUGGUUUUCGUCUUGGAACUCUGCCAUGCAGGCCAUUUUUGCCCAGUCUUUCUUAUAUUGGAGUUAUAUUGCAAGUGAGGCCUGCAGUUCUUUGGAGGUUGUUCUGGGGUUUUUUUUGUGAACUCUUCAAUGAGUAGUUGCUGUGCUCUUGGGAGUAAUUUUGGAAGGGCGGUCACUCCUGGCAAGGUUAAUCACUGUUCCAAGUUUUCUCAUUUGUUCCUGAAUUUCCUUGGAUUGUGGCAUGAUGUCUGGCUUUUGAGGAUCUUUUGGUCUACUCCACUUUGUCAGGCAAGUUAUAUUAAAGUGAUUUAGCAACCACAAUGCCUUAGAAAUGGCAAAUGGCAAACCACAGCCCUCACUGGUUUGCUGUGCUGCCUGUGGACACUCAAAUUGCUCAGAAGACAUGCAUAUUUUUCCCACUGAUCACAAAAAGAGAAAGGAAUAGUUGGCUCGAGUCAGUAGGAGUGACCUUAAACUGACAAAAGAUUACAACAGAAAAGUAUUUGAGGUAAAAUCGUAACAAUGCAUUUGCACUUUUCACAAAGAUCACACCACUGGGAAGAUUGAUUAAAAGGUAAAUUAAAAACCAUUUCAGGAAAUGUUUACUUUAUUGUUUUUACGUGGUUGGAAAUCCUUUAACCACACAGGUGGAGUAGCAACUCUUGCACUUCUUUGAACCAAUAGUCUUUUUUUUUCUGGCUUUGCUGUUCUGAGUGGGAUGUCUGGCAGCAUACAUUAGUACUUCCUCCAAUCUGCUUCUCAACAGUCAACAAACAGGUGGUAUAAACUUUGAAGAGCAUCUUUUCUGCUUGGCACAAAGACACAGCUCAGAUUUGGACUCAUUAGACCAAAGCACAGAUUUCCACUGGUCUAAUGUCCAUUCCUUGUGUUUCUUGGCCCAAACAAAUCUCCUCUGCUUGCUUUUCCUUUGUAUUGGUUUCUUAGCAGCUAUCUGACCAUAAAGGUCUGAUUUGCGCAGUCUUCUCUGAACAAUUGAUAUAGAGAUGUCUGGUACUGGAACUCUGUGUGGCAUUUAUCUGGGCGUUGAGGUGCUGUUAACUUGCGAUUUGUGGGGCUAGUGACUCAGAUGAAUUUCUCGUCAGCAGCAGAGGUGACUCUUGGUCUUCCUUUUCUGGAGUGGUCCUCAUUUGAGCCAGUUUCAUCAUAGUGCUUGAUGGUUUUUGCAACUACGCAUUCAAAGUUUUAGCAAUUUUCAGGCCGACUGACCUUUAGUUCUUAAAAUAAUGAUGGACUGUCAUUUCUCUGUACUUUGCUGAUUGGUUCUUGCCAUAAUAUGAAUUCUAACAGUUGUCACAUAGGUUGGUACAUAGCUGACAGCCCUGACUUCUGCACAACAAAACUGAUUGUCCCAACCCCAUUAAGAAGGCAAGAAAUUCCCCAAAUGAACCCUGACAAGACACACCUGUGAAGUGAAAACCAUUUCAUGUGACUACACCAUGAAGCUUAUUGAGAGAAG